Non-coding RNA from Meleagris gallopavo (turkey), 1203 nucleotides. The record is from RefSeq and is a predicted model, not a curated record. NCBI's taxonomy places the organism in Eukaryota, Metazoa, Chordata, Aves, Galliformes, Phasianidae.
CUGCUUCUCUAUAGCUCUGGCAGGCUGUCCUCCUGCUCCUUUGUAUAAACUAAGGAAAUGUUGAAUGGGGAGUGUAAAAGAAGGUGAAAGGGAAGAAAAAAUGACAUGUAUUUUGCAGCUGUCUUGCUGAAAGCUGAUCUCUCCCAGGCUGACAGCAAUGUGAGGAGCAGAGGGAAGAGGCAGUGUGCUGUGCUGAUAAAGUUUCCUUGCUCAGAUGAGUUUUGGUGCUGGUCCUGUGGAAGGUGCCUGGCUGCAAAAAGGCCCUCCCCAUCUUUCCUACGUGCUCAGCUUCCUUCUGACUGAGCCUUCCUGCUUCCUCUGUUCAUUUCUGUAAUUCACUCCCACUCUUUACUACUUUGCAGGAGGUGCUAGAGCAGAACGUAGCAAAGGACAACCCAUCUCCAAGCACCUGAAUCGCGUCCUUUUGGUCUUGCUUUAAAGAGAGCCUGUUCCAUGUUCCACAUAGCCUGAUGCUCAAAAAGAAGUUUUGCAUCAAGAGCUGCUCCACAACUUCUCAGAAGUCGUUACCUGGAAGCUGCAUCCUUCAUUAAUCUCAUGCAUGGCAAAGAGACGUCUGCUCACAGCUUCCCCCAGAGUGCCUUUUUUAUGUGCUGCUGCAGCAGGAGAGAAAGUUUUGGUGGCGAUGCUGGAAGGUAACAGAAGAAGAGGUGUGCUCAGCCUCUUACACUGCACAGAAUGCAUCCCUGUGUGCUUGGGGUCGCACGAGGGGUCAGCACAGUGUGUGUUCCCAGUGCCUUUUUCCACGCCACGCUGACAUUGAGCCUCCUCACCUCCAUCCACAUCCAUCUGUUGUUCCCUCCGUCAGCGACUUUGUGAGAUGAUUGAUCUCAGACUUAGGUCAUUUUUCAAGUUGCAGAUCUUGUCAAUCUGUCUGGCUCCACCUACAUGCAGUGAUUCAGCUCCUGAUGUGCUGAAAUAUUCCCCUAAGCCUUCCCACACACCACCGAGGGCUUUUUUUAUAGUUCUUCUCCAGGCUGCACCACCUCUCCUGCGCUGUGCUCAAAGCAUGUAUUCUUUGCAUGAUGUUUGCAUGCUUUCUUUCGCUUGGAGAACAGUGCAGAAAGUCAAGUUAGAGCUCCUGAAGACUUAGAAGAGCCACUGCAAAACACACUCCCCACCUAAAUGCUGCAUCCUGUGUAUCACAUUUGGCUAAUGUGCUGUGAUUAAAGGCGCUGGAGACAA